RNAcentral lists this transfer RNA (67 nucleotides) under Marmota monax (woodchuck). Its description in RNAcentral is "tRNA.Val". It matches the Rfam family "tRNA". From Rfam's summary of the family: Transfer RNA (tRNA) molecules are approximately 80 nucleotides in length. Their secondary structure includes four short double-helical elements and three loops (D, anti-codon, and T loops). Further hydrogen bonds mediate the characteristic L-shaped molecular structure. tRNAs have two regions of fundamental functional importance: the anti-codon, which is responsible for specific mRNA codon recognition, and the 3' end, to which the tRNAs corresponding amino acid is attached (by aminoacyl-tRNA synthetases). tRNAs cope with the degeneracy of the genetic code in two manners: having more than one tRNA (with a specific anti-codon) for a particular amino acid; and 'wobble' base-pairing, i.e. permitting non-standard base-pairing at the 3rd anti-codon position. Lineage: Eukaryota; Metazoa; Chordata; Mammalia; Rodentia; Sciuridae. The record is from RNAcentral.
GGUUGAAGCUCAGUGGUAGAGCGCUUGCCUCACACGCAUGAGGUACUAGGUUCAAUCCUCAGCACCA